This 72-nucleotide transfer RNA is filed under the name Coemansia sp. RSA 1200. RNAcentral describes it as "tRNA-Asp". It matches the Rfam family "tRNA". Rfam says of the family: Transfer RNA (tRNA) molecules are approximately 80 nucleotides in length. Lineage: Eukaryota; Fungi; Kickxellomycota; Kickxellomycetes; Kickxellales; Kickxellaceae. The record is from RNAcentral.
UCCCUGAUAGUAUAAUGGCGAGUACACCAGUCUGUCACAUUGGAGACCCGGGUUCAAUUCCCGGUCGGAGAG